RNAcentral lists this ribosomal RNA (468 nucleotides) under uncultured bacterium. RNAcentral's name for it is "partial 16S ribosomal RNA". It matches the Rfam family "Bacterial small subunit ribosomal RNA", at positions 28 to 507 of the family's 1533-position model. The record is from RNAcentral.
GACGAACGCUGGCGGCGUGCUUAACACAUGCAAGUCGAACGGAAAGGCCCUGCUUUUGUGGGGUGCUCGAGUGGCGAACGGGUGAGUAACACGUGAGUAACCUGCCCUUGACUUUGGGAUAACUUCAGGAAACUGGGGCUAUUACCGGAAGGGAGCUCCUGCUGCAGGGGGGGGGUGGGAAAGUUUCGGCGGUUGGGGAUGGACUCGCGGCUUAUCAGCUUGUUGGUGGGGUAGUGGCUUACCAAGGCUUUGACGGGUAGCCGGCCUGAGAGGGUGACCGGCCACAUUGGGACUGAGAUACGGCCCAGACUCCUACGGGAGGCAGCAGUGGGGAAUAUUGCACAAUGGGCGGAAGCCUGAUGCAGCAACGCCGCGUGCGGGAUGACGGCCUUCGGGUUGUAAACCGCUUUCGCCUGUGACGAAGCGUGAGUGACGGUAAUGGGUAAAGAAGCACCGGCUAACUACGUG